GACGUAGGGCGCGAGCGUUGUCCGGAUUUAUUGGGCGUAAAGGGCUCGUAGGCGGUUUGUCGCGUCGGGAGUGAAAUCCACUGGCUUAACUGGUGGCUUGCUUUCGAUACGGGCAGACUGGAGGUAUGCAGGGGAGAACGGAAUUCCUGGUGUAGCGGUGAAAUGCGCAGAUAUCAGGAGGAACACCGGUGGCGAAGGCGGGUCUCUGGGCCGAUACUGACGCUGAGGAGCGAAAGCGUGGGGAGCGAACAGG
This 253-nucleotide ribosomal RNA is filed under the name uncultured bacterium. Its description in RNAcentral is "partial 16S ribosomal RNA". It matches the Rfam family "Bacterial small subunit ribosomal RNA", at positions 524 to 776 of the family's 1533-position model. The record is from RNAcentral.